CUACGGGUGGCUCCAGUGGGUAAUAUUGCACAAUGGAGGAAACUCUGAUGCAGCAACGCCGCGUGGAGGAUGACACUUUUCGGAGCGUAAACUCCUUUUAUAUAGGAAGAAGAUGACGGUACUAUAUGAAUAAGCGCCGGCUAACUCCGUGCCAGCAGCCGCGGUAAUAAGGAGGGCGCAAGCGUUACUCGGAAUCACUGGGCGUAAAGAGCGUGUAGGCGGAUUAAAAAGUCAGAAGUGAAAUCCUAUAGCUUAACUAUAGAACUGCUUUUGAAACUCUUAAUCUAGAAUAUGGGAGAGGUAGAUGGAAUUUCUGGUGUAGGGGUAAAAUCCGUAGAGAUCAGAAGGAAUACCGAUUGCGAAGGCGAUCUACUAGAACAUUAUUGACGCUGAGACGCGAAAGCGUGGGGAGCAAACAGGAUUAGAUACCCUGGUAGUC
Molecule: ribosomal RNA, 439 nt
Filed under: uncultured bacterium
Lineage: Bacteria
Description: partial 16S ribosomal RNA
Rfam family: Bacterial small subunit ribosomal RNA
Source: RNAcentral